AGUUGAUAGAGGAAAGUAGAAUUUCUAGUGUAGAGGUCGAAAUUCGUAGAUAUUUAGAAAGAAUACCAAUUGCGAAGGCAGCUUUCUGGAUCAUUACUGACACUGAGGAACGAAAGCAUGGGUAGCGAAGAGGAUUAGAUACCCCUGUAGUCCUGGCCGUAAACGAUGAACACUAGGUGUCCGGGGGAAUCGACCCCUUCGGUGUCGUAGCUAACGCGUUAAGUGUUCCGCCUGGGGAGUACGCACGCAAGUGUGAAACUCAAAGGAAUUGACGGGGACCCGCACAAGCAGUGGAGCAUGUGGUUUAAUUCGAAGAUACGCGCAGAACCUUACCAACACUUGACAUGUUCGUCGCGAGCCUAAGAGAUUAGGCUUUUCAGUUCGGCUGGACGAAACACAGGUGCUGCAUGGCU
Molecule: ribosomal RNA, 413 nt
Filed under: uncultured bacterium
Lineage: Bacteria
Description: bacterial SSU rRNA
Rfam family: Bacterial small subunit ribosomal RNA
Source: RNAcentral